Molecule: long non-coding RNA, 2205 nt
Filed under: Nicotiana tabacum (common tobacco)
Lineage: Eukaryota; Viridiplantae; Streptophyta; Magnoliopsida; Solanales; Solanaceae
Description: long non-coding RNA (NTAB_LNC002691)
Source: RNAcentral
GGACCCAUGCACCCCCCUCUCUUCAUCUUCUUCGUUCACCCCCUCCCCACGAAACCCCAUAGACCCCCCCUCCUCCGCUCACCACUAUCCAGCCCCCUCCCCGUCCAUUUUUCUUUUCCGUCGUCGGACCACCCAAGCCAACCUACUAUCACGCCGGACAGACCCUCAACCAGCAGCGGUGAUCGUGGUCUGCCAUUGACGAGCAGCAGCGCUGCUGCAUCGACCAGUCAUGCUGCCUCGUCGUCCACCACCAGCAGCUUCAUCUCAUCAUCGAGGUCGUCCACCAGCAACAGCGUUAACCAUCGUUGAGGUCGUCCACCAGUAGCAACUUCGUCGACCAACCACGAACAGCCAUCGACGACCAACUCCCCAUGGCUGCUGCUCCUUUUUCUUCUUCAUCCCCAGCUCAACCAUGAACGACCACCCAACGUCCAAACUCAGCUGCUGUCUCGUCUUUCUUCAGGUUCAAUCCGUCGAGGUCGUCGUUUGUCAUUCUGAGUUCGUCGAGGUUAAAAAGAGAAGGUGGGUUUUUUUUCGUUGAGUCGAGAUCCGGUACGUCGAGGUUGUUGUCCCAGUUUCUGUUCCGUUGUGGUCAUUUCCGGUUAGUUGGUUUAAGUUUCAUUUCUGACCGUAUUUUGUUUGAUAUUCUCGGAUCUAAAAUCAGUAUAUGUUUGAUUCUUUUGUUGUUCGUUGUUUAUCAUUUCUUGAUUAUUUCUUCUGUUUGUUUUAUGUUCUUGUUUAGUUUUAAUAUAGAAAUGUUUAGUUUAAUCAUGUUGUUAGAUUUAAUUUAAAGUUCAAUUGAUUAUUGAGUUUAGUGAUUUGAAUCUACUUAUUUGUUAUGUUCAAUUUAUUACUGUUAUUGAAUCUGAAAGUAUGUUUGUUGUUAAAAAAUAUUGUUCAGUCAAAAUGAUUUCAGUUGUCUCUUUAUUGUUCAUCAUAUGGUUUGGUUCCCUGAAUCCUGAGUCUUCGUUAUGAUAUUUGACAUAAUAUGAGUUUCUAACUUAAAUUUGUUGAUGAAAUUUAAUUAGGAAUUGGUUAUAACUGCUGUACUUUGGUUAAUUGAUUAGGUGAAUUGUAAUUUCAGUAGUUUCAGGGGCAUUUUCGGGAUUUUAAAUGAGUCUUAAAAAUAAUUAAUUUGAGUGCUCCGUCCACUAGGUACUAAUAAUAUUAAAUUAAUAUAUUUUUUAAUGCGUAGUGGGGGACAAGACAUAAUGGUGGGAAUUAAUACAUUUUUAAUACGUAGUGGGGGACAAGACAUAAUGGUGGGUAUUAAUACAUUGUUUAAAAUAGUGAGGGACAAAGCAUGCGGUAGUGAGGAAUAAUGGAAUUAAAUAAAGAAAAUAUAUGUGUUAGUGAGAACUAAUAUAUUUGUUUAAUAUAGUCGGGGACAAAACAUUAAGUAGUGGGAAGUUAAAGGGGGAUGGGUAGAAGAUGGUGGGAUUUAAUUUAAUUGCUUCAAGUUUGGCUAUAAAUAAGGGAGCUGGACACAAGUUAGGGAAAAAAAAAAGACGGAUUUUGAGAGAGAGAGAGGAGAAGACUGAAAAUUAAAAGAGAAAAGCUGAGGAAAUUGAAAAAAUAACUAUUGUUUUCAUUGCCUGGUUUAGGAUCUGAAAUACCUAGAAUUUUCUUCCUUUUACUUCUGCUAUAUACUUGGAGAAGUAUAAAACUGCUGGUUAUUUUUUGUUGCACUGCUGUUGUAACUUCUGAAUGCUACUGCUGCUGUUGGUUACUACUGAUACCUCAUUUUUCUGCUUCCUUCUUUUAUUUCCAGGUACAUUUUUUCUACCCACUGUAAAACCUUCUGUGAUAUGGGAAUCUGAAGCAUGUCGGCCAUUUAAUCUCAUUAGAAGAGUUUAAUUCUGUCUUUAUUUCAAGUUUUAGUUUGAACAGUUUGCAUUUGAAUGUUGGUCAGUGAUAAUGCUUCUAGAGGCUGAGUUUGGUUUAAAAUAGAUAUGGGAUUCGAUUUUGGUCGAAUAUUCUGUAAUCUAAAACCAGCAUUGUGUGAAUGGACAUGGUCAUAAUGAUAAAAUCUGUUUAAAAAGUCAGGACAACAUGUUUGCUUAGUUAGGUCAGUAAUGGAGUUCUGUAUAUAAUUUUGGAUAGUCAUUUGCUCAAUUAGAUAUUGAAUGAUUAAAUAUCACUAGAUAUGGUAGUUUCUGCGUAGGAGCAACGUGAUUAGUUGAGUUGUUGCGAAAUUGAAAUGGC